Molecule: ribosomal RNA, 255 nt
Filed under: uncultured bacterium
Lineage: Bacteria
Description: partial 16S ribosomal RNA
Rfam family: Bacterial small subunit ribosomal RNA
Source: RNAcentral
UACGUAGGGUGCAAGCGUUGUCCGGAAUUAUUGGGCGUAAAAGGAGCUCGUAGGCGGUUCGUCGCGUCGGCUGUGAAAACCUGAGGCUCAACCUCAGGCCUGCAGUCGAUACGGGCGGACUUGAGUACUGCAGGGGAGACUGGAAUUCCUGGUGUAGCGGUGAAAUGCGCAGAUAUCAGGAGGAACACCGGUGGCGAAGGCGGGUCUCUGGGCAGUAACUGACGCUGAGGAGCGAAAGCGUGGGUAGCAAACAGG